CCUACGGGAGGCUGCAGUGAGGAAUAUUGGUCAAUGGACGAGAGUCUGAACCAGCCAAGUAGCGUGAAGGAUGACUGCCCUAUGGGUUGUAAACUUCUUUUAUAUGGGAAUAAAACAGGGUAUGCAUACCCUCUUGUAUGUACCAUAUGAAUAAGGAUCGGCUAACUCCGUGCCAGCAGCCGCGGUAAUACGGAGGAUCCGAGCGUUAUCCGGAUUUAUUGGGUUUAAAGCGCUCGUAGGCGGUAUGUCAAGUCAAGGGUGAAAUCCCCGGGCUCAACGGGGGAACUGCCUUGGAAACUGGAAAACUGGAGUGUGGGAGAGGAGAGUGGAAUUCCAGGUGUAGGAGUGAAAUCCGUAGAUAUCUGGAGGAACAUCAGUGGCGAAGGCGACUAGCUGGAACAUAACUGACGCUGAGGAGCGAAAGCGUGGGUAGCAAACAGGAUUAGAUACCCUUGUAGUC
Molecule: ribosomal RNA, 460 nt
Filed under: uncultured bacterium
Lineage: Bacteria
Description: partial 16S ribosomal RNA
Rfam family: Bacterial small subunit ribosomal RNA
Source: RNAcentral